AUACGGAGGAUCCGAGCGUUAUCCGGAUUUAUUGGGUUUAAAGGGAGCGUAGGUGGAUUGUUAAGUCAGUUGUGAAAGUUUGCGGCUCAACCGUAAAAUUGCAGUUGAAACUGGCAGUCUUGAGUACAGUAGAGGUGGGCGGAAUUCGUGGUGUAGCGGUGAAAUGCUUAGAUAUCACGAAGAACUCCGAUUGCGAAGGCAGCUCACUAGACUGUUACUGACUCUGAUGCUCGAAAGUGUGGGUAUCAAACAGGAUUAGAUACCCUGGUAGUCCACACAGUAAACGAUGAAUACUCGCUGUUUGCGAUAUACAGUAAGCGGCCAAGCGAAAGCAUUAAGUAUUCCACCUGGGGAGUACGCCGGCAACGGUGAAACUCAAAGGAAUUGACGGGG
RNAcentral lists this ribosomal RNA (393 nucleotides) under uncultured bacterium. RNAcentral describes it as "partial 16S ribosomal RNA". It matches the Rfam family "Bacterial small subunit ribosomal RNA", at positions 523 to 918 of the family's 1533-position model. The record is from RNAcentral.